GCCGAAGUAGCUCAGUGGCAGAGCAACGCUUUCGUAAAGCGUGGGUCGGGGGUUCGAUUCCCCCUUUCGGCU
Molecule: transfer RNA, 72 nt
Filed under: Candidatus Gottesmanbacteria bacterium
Lineage: Bacteria; Candidatus Gottesmaniibacteriota
Description: tRNA-Thr
Rfam family: tRNA
About the family: Transfer RNA (tRNA) molecules are approximately 80 nucleotides in length. Their secondary structure includes four short double-helical elements and three loops (D, anti-codon, and T loops).
Source: RNAcentral